CUUCACCACUUCACGGAUUAAUAUCAACCUGAGAGACUUUAUCUUCGUCCGGACUGUUUAGGUCUAACAAAUCCGCGACAGAGGACAAUGUUUCUCCUGCAGUACACGGGGCUCAGCGCUCUGCCCUUUGACCCCACGGCCGGCAACGACCCUCUCCACUUCGGCAGCUCCAACGGGCCGCUGACUGAGUCUCCUUCCCUGGAAAACACUGCUGAAAACAGCAAGAAGAGGAAGAUAACUGGUCUGACUUCAGACGCCAACAUGAACAUGGCUCCUAACUCCAUGGCGAUGCCCAUGUCAGACCCCAGCAUCUGGACACAAGCCAUGAGCAGCCUGGGGAUGCCUCCGCUAAACAUGACGGGACAGCAGCUGAUACCAGAUUUUGACCCCAGUCUCGGGCUGAUGACUGGCAUUACCCCGAUAAAUCCCAUGAUGCCCGGCCUGGGCCUGGCUCACCCGCCCCUAUCCCAGGAUGCACCAGUUGUCAAGGAGAUCAUCCACUGCAAUAGCUGCACGCUGUUUCCUCCCAACCACAGUUUGACCGACCUUCUGCCUCCGGCCACGAGGGAACGCCCUCCUGGGUGUAAGACGGUGUUUGUUGGCGGUCUGCCCGAGAACUUCACUGAGCAGCUCAUCGUGGAGGUCUUUGGACAGUGUGGGGAUAUUGCUGCAAUCAGAAAGAGCAAGAAAAACUUCUGCCAUAUUCGAUUUGUUGAGGAGUUCACUGUGGACAAGGCUCUUCUCCUCUCUGGUUACCGUAUCCGUUUGGGCUCCAGCACAGACAAAAAAGACUCGGGCCGCCUCCACGUGGACUUCGCCCAGGCCAGAGACGACUUGUACGAGUGGGAGUGUCACCAGCGCAUGUUGGCCAGAGAGGAGAGGCACCGGCGCAAAAUAGAGGAGGAUCUCUUCCGACCCCCCUCUCCUCCUCCCAUCGCCCACUACUCUGAGCACGAGUGUAGUGAGCUUGGAGACAGGAUCAAAGAGGAUGGCAAGUUUCCUGAAGCAGUGCGUGUGCUGUUGACCUGGCUGGAGAGAGGGGAAGUCAACCGAAGGAACGCCAACAACUUCUACUCCAUGAUCCAGGCGUCCAACGGCCACAUCCGCCGGCUGACGGGCGAGAAGAGUCAGCAUGAGAAUGAGGUGGAAGAGGCCAAAGACAAGUUCAAGACUGCGAUGGUCACCAUUCUUGGUCAAUUUGAACAGAUUGUGUCUGUAUUCCACGCUGCGUCCAAACAAAAGGCAUGGGACCAUUUCUCCAAAGCGCAACGGAAGAACCUGGAUUUAUGGCGCACCCAGGUGGAGAAGAUUAGAAACAUGCACAAUGAGCAGCUGAUGGGCAUCAGGGGAGAAGAGGAGAUGGAAAUGUCUGACGAUGAUAUGGAGGACUGCUCUGCUACCAACAGCAAAGACUCUGAGGACUCAGGUGUUUCCCAAGCGGAAGCCUUGAAGGAGGAGAACGACUCUCUGCGCUGCCAGCUGGACGCCUACAGGAACGAGGUGGAGCUGCUCAAACAGGAACAAGGCAAGAAUCAACCAAUGAUCAGCGAGGAGGACAACACACGCUCUCAGCAGCUUAGCUUCCUGCAGCAAGCUCUGCAGGGCAUGCAGAAGCAACUGCUGAGGAUGAGAGACGAGCUGAUGGAGCGAGAGGUAGAGCUACAGAAGAGUAUCGAAGAAAAACAACAACUCAAGAACCAAAUCCAUGACCUCAAGUCAGGACUGCACAACCUGCAGCCUACACACACAUCACAGCCGGAGACGUUGAACCAAGAUCACAGAUGGAGCGAACAGAGUGCUAAUCAAGUCAGUGAUGUAACGGCAUCAUCAGUGGUGUCGUGCAGUCAGGACAAGGAAGCUCUUCCAGAGAAGAAUCCACUGAGUCCUGUAAACUCUGAGAGGGACGCACUUCUCAUCGGGAUCAUUUCAACCUUCCUGAACGUCCACCCGUUUGGAGCCAGUAUGGAGUACAUCUGUUCCUACCUGCAGCGCUUGGACACCAAGAUUAACACCAGUGAGGUGGAGGCUCUUCUCUCUCGGCUGCCCUGCACCUUCAGGCAGGAGCUGAGCGGAGUCGGAGCGAGUCUGGAGAAACGAUGGAGCUUCUGCGGCUUCCAGGGCAUCAAGAGCACAUAAACUCUGCCGGAGACGCUUCUGAGAAGAGGGAGAGAUGACAGGCCACACAGAAUUAUCCCAGCUUAUUGUGCUGGAUGAUAUAAAUCUGCCUCAUUGUUUCUGUUCUGUAUGUCAGCCAAGUCUGAUCCCAAACCCUGCUGAAGACGAGCAUCUACUGCCAUCUAUUGGAGACACUAAACAGAAGAGCUUCACACCCUCGGGUCAAUAACGGCUGGCGUUGUGCUGUGUGCGACGGUAUUUAAGAAAAUGCUCUCCUGUUACCUGCUGUAUCGACUGAUGGCACAUUGCAUUUUAUAUUGAGGACAAUCAGUACAAUGAAACAUUUGCAUUUAGUUCCUUAAAGGGGCUUUAUUUGUGUAACAACAGUUUGAUUUAAUCCAAACAUUACAGUGCACAGAACAUAUUUUUUAUACAAACAUACUUUAUCAUGUCAUGUGUCUCCUCAGAAUGAAAAUAGCAGUUAUUCACAGAUAAACAACUAGAAUAUAUAUGUUCAACAUCUGUGUUGUUGACACACUUUGUCAAGGUGUGGUGACACUUCACCCUACAUGUUAUCAACUGUUUCUUUAAAUGAUCAUGUAUAUUCCACAGUGGUAAAAUACUGUAACCCCCUCAUCCACAUUGCACUUUACACACACACCAAGCAGCUCUAUCAAACACAUGAUGCCAACAUUAUUUGAAAUUAUUAACAUGUUUUUUAAACAUUACAACCAUUUCAGUCAAGUUACCAGCUAAGAGCAGGGGGGUAUACUACGAAGCAGGAUUUUCGCUUAGCUGGCUAAAUUCAGGGAAAACUCCGGCUUUCCGGUCCUACGAAGCUGGUUCUAUUUUUAGCAGGCUAGAUCUCCAUGGUAACUUAUGCUUAGUGGCUAA
Molecule: RNA transcript, 3009 nt
Organism: Gymnodraco acuticeps
Lineage: Eukaryota; Metazoa; Chordata; Actinopteri; Perciformes; Bathydraconidae
Gene name: ecto-NOX disulfide-thiol exchanger 2-like
Exons: 16
Source: RefSeq, a predicted model, not a curated record